RNAcentral lists this transfer RNA (76 nucleotides) under Burkholderiaceae bacterium. RNAcentral's name for it is "tRNA-Phe". It matches the Rfam family "tRNA". From Rfam's summary of the family: Transfer RNA (tRNA) molecules are approximately 80 nucleotides in length. Their secondary structure includes four short double-helical elements and three loops (D, anti-codon, and T loops). Further hydrogen bonds mediate the characteristic L-shaped molecular structure. tRNAs have two regions of fundamental functional importance: the anti-codon, which is responsible for specific mRNA codon recognition, and the 3' end, to which the tRNAs corresponding amino acid is attached (by aminoacyl-tRNA synthetases). tRNAs cope with the degeneracy of the genetic code in two manners: having more than one tRNA (with a specific anti-codon) for a particular amino acid; and 'wobble' base-pairing, i.e. permitting non-standard base-pairing at the 3rd anti-codon position. The record is from RNAcentral. Lineage: Bacteria; Pseudomonadati; Pseudomonadota; Betaproteobacteria; Burkholderiales; Burkholderiaceae.
GGCCUGGUAGCUCAGUUGGUAGAGCAGCGGACUGAAAAUCCGUGUGUCGGUGGUUCAAUUCCGCCCCGGGCCACCA